CAAGUUUUUCACUGGACACGUGGCAUCCCAGAAUAAAAAUAAAGACCAUAUUUUCCAGUAUCUUUUGCAGAUAGUUAGAGGCAGAGGACUCAAGUCUGGCCAAGGAGCGCUUUCACAUCUCCUGCGCAUGCCCAGAAAAUAGUGACCCUUCCAAGAAGAGAGGACAUCACACACAAUUCGGAGGAUAUAUUUGGGAAGGAAAGGAGAAAGACGAGAAAAAGAAGCCUUGGCUCAUGGAUAGGGCAGACUUUCAAGUUCUCAGAGGCUCUCCAUUCACAGGAGAUAAAGAGUUGACAUUAUGCCACUCCUGGUAUAAAAGCCUUUGUUUUGUUCCAUGGCCGGCCCUCUGGAGAUUCUCCUAGCCCUUUGCACCAGCUGUUCCCUCUUCAUAGAAUGUUCUUCCCUUGGAUACACCAGUGACUUGCUCCCUCAUCUUCUCCAACUCACAGCUCAGAUGUCACCUCCUCCAAGAAGACUUCCUGACCCAACAAGCUGAAAUAAUUGCUUCAUUUUUCAUUUUUUUAUUCCCUUGCUGUUAUAUUUUCUUUCAGUGCACAACACCACCCGCUGUAUCACAGAGUUGUCUGUUUCUUGCAGGUGUUCUCUACUGAAAUUCAAGCACCAAGAAGGUCCAAGAUGUUGGGAGAGAGCAGACUAUAGCUGAUAACUCAGGUACCACGUCAUCACAGGGAGUGAGGAGCCUAUCUUUAGCUCUGUCAUCUUAGAAAGAGAUGAUGUCUUCAAGAAAGUAAAACCGAGGCACAGAAAAUAUUGCACACCUUGUGUGCAAAGGCCCCAUGGCAGAAAACAAAAAUAAUCAUGCAGUCAAUAAGUGAAGGGAUAAAAUUUGAGUUCAAAGCUCUCCAUUUCUGGAUCCCACACAUUUAGCUCAAGAAUCUCAAGACUGUGGGAAGAAAAGAUGAGGAGCAGAAAUUAGGAUUUCAGCUCCCUCAGCAUCUGCAAGAGCUGAGCAGAGCAGCCAACCAAGAGCUUGAGGCUAUGUGCUGAAGGUCUGAGAAGGCAGCAGCUAUGUUAAAGCAGCGGAACCUUUGGUUGAGUGAAAUGCUCCACACAUUUUGAGAGUCUCCUGUCUUACAGGCCAUGUACUAAGUUCUGGAACAAGAAAGAUGGAUAAGAUAUGGCAUCUACCUAGCAUUUCUUGUGAUCUAUAAAAUGUUACCAAAUAAGUAAAAUGUUACCAAAUAAGUUCAAAUACAAUAUUAAUGAUACUGUUAAGCCUUUGAGUAUGUACUUAAAAUAAAAAUGAAAAAUUCUAACUGGACAAAAUUCAAUAUAUACAAGACCAGUGUGUCUGAAAGCACAAUCUCCUUGGAUUAGAAGCGUAUAAAUCACUGAGGAAUCUUGCUAAAAUACAUAUUUUUUGCAUCCAACUCAACCUAUAGAAUCAAACACCCUGAGGAGUGUGGUCUGAGAAUCAACAUUGUAAACAAGUUCUCCAGUGAUUCUAAUGCCCAUUGAAAGUACCAUUGAAUUAAAUCAAGAGUGAAUCUGAAUAUUAGAAAAUUAAGACUUGUCUUCUACUUUUUGUACCUUUCUUGGAAAAAUGCGUAAAUAUUAAAUGUCACCACCAUUCCCCCCCCCCCAAAAAAAACCCCUUGUUAAUCCAGCUUCAAGGUAAAAUCCUUAAAUAGUCAAUAAUGGGAAUUCCAAGGUGAAAAUUAUUUCCAUCGUCUCUUGCCUACACAUAAAUAGUCUGGGCUCUUAUUUGCCAAUGCUAAUCGCAAGCCUUCAGAUGUGAUUAUUUAUGCUGCCAAAUCUAUCAUAAAAUAUAAGGUAUAAAUUAC
Canis lupus familiaris (dog) is the source of this 1805-nucleotide long non-coding RNA. RefSeq lists it as uncharacterized. Lineage: Eukaryota; Metazoa; Chordata; Mammalia; Carnivora; Canidae. The record is from RefSeq and is a predicted model, not a curated record. The transcript is spliced from 7 exons.